UUCGACACACUAUCAUUAACUGAAUCCAUAGGUUAAUGAGGCGAACCGGGGGAACUGAAACAUCUAAGUACCCCGAGGAAAAGAAAUCAACCGAGAUUCCCCCAGUAGCGGCGAGCGAACGGGGAGCAGCCCAGAGCCUGAAUCAGUAUGUGUGUUAGUGGAAGCGUCUGGAAAGGCGCGCGAUACAGGGUGACAGCCCCGUACACAAAAAUGCACAUGCUGUGAGCUCGAUGAGUAGGGCGGGACACGUGGUAUCCUGUCUGAAUAUGGGGGGACCAUCCUCCAAGGCUAAAUACUCCUGACUGACCGAUAGUGAACCAGUACCGUGAGGGAAAGGCGAAAAGAACCCCGGCGAGGGGAGUGAAAAAGAACCUGAAACCGUGUACGUACAAGCAGUGGGAGCACGCUUAGGCGUGUGACUGCGUACCUUUUGUAUAAUGGGUCAGCGACUUAUAUUCUGUAGCAAGGUUAACCGAAUAGGGGAGCCGAAGGGAAACCGAGUCUUAACUGGGCGUUAAGUUGCAGGGUAUAGACCCGAAACCCGGUGAUCUAGCCAUGGGCAGGUUGAAGGUUGGGUAACACUAACUGGAGGACCGAACCGACUAAUGUUGAAAAAUUAGCGGAUGACUUGUGGCUGGGGGUGAAAGGCCAAUCAAACCGGGAGAUAGCUGGUUCUCCCCGAAAGCUAUUUAGGUAGCGCCUCGUGAAUUCAUCUCCGGGGGUAGAGCACUGUUUCGGCAAGGGGGUCAUCCCGACUUACCAACCCGAUGCAAACUGCGAAUACCGGAGAAUGUUAUCACGGGAGACACACGGCGGGUGCUAACGUCCGUCGUGAAGAGGGAAACAACCCAGACCGCCAGCUAAGGUCCCAAAGUCAUGGUUAAGUGGGAAACGAUGUGGGAAGGCCCAGACAGCCAGGAUGUUGGCUUAGAAGCAGCCAUCAUUUAAAGAAAGCGUAAUAGCUCACUGGUCGAGUCGGCCUGCGCGGAAGAUGUAACGGGGCUAAACCAUGCACCGAAGCUGCGGCAGCGACGCUGAUGCGUUGUUGGGUAGGGGAGCGUUCUGUAAGCCUGCGAAGGUGUGCUGUGAGGCAUGCUGGAGGUAUCAGAAGUGCGAAUGCUGACAUAAGUAACGAUAAAGCGGGUGAAAAGCCCGCUCGCCGGAAGACCAAGGGUUCCUGUCCAACGUUAAUCGGGGCAGGGUGAGUCGACCCCUAAGGCGAGGCCGAAAGGCGUAGUCGAUGGGAAACAGGUU
Molecule: ribosomal RNA, 1254 nt
Filed under: Escherichia coli
Lineage: Bacteria; Pseudomonadati; Pseudomonadota; Gammaproteobacteria; Enterobacterales; Enterobacteriaceae
Description: partial 23S ribosomal RNA
Rfam family: Bacterial large subunit ribosomal RNA
Source: RNAcentral